GGUACCUUGACCGAGCGGCUAGGUAUCGGUCUGCAAAACCGAGUACGGCGGUUCGAGUCCGCCAGGUACCUCCA
This 74-nucleotide transfer RNA is filed under the name Bacteroidaceae bacterium. RNAcentral describes it as "tRNA-Cys". It matches the Rfam family "tRNA". Rfam says of the family: Transfer RNA (tRNA) molecules are approximately 80 nucleotides in length. Their secondary structure includes four short double-helical elements and three loops (D, anti-codon, and T loops). RNAcentral also lists the same sequence under 1 other name. Lineage: Bacteria; Pseudomonadati; Bacteroidota; Bacteroidia; Bacteroidales; Bacteroidaceae. The record is from RNAcentral.